GAAAAAAGCUCUGGAACCUUCAUUACUGUAGCUUGUGUUUCUUCUCAGCGAGUACCCUUUGUGGUUGAACGUCCGCCCUAAUCUGAUCCCAAGUGGCGGUUUCUCUUUCAUCUUUAUUGCUAUGCUACUAUUUAGUGUUUACUUCUCUAAUUAUUUCGCUAUCUGUAGCCUAAUCCUCUCCUCUGUUAUAUCUAUUUCUGUCCUUCCACUUAUUUUAUUUCUUUCCCCAUAAAGAGUUUCGAACCUCUAUCUCUUUCUCUCACUCAUCUCCACUAUUUACUGUCGUUUUUGCUACUCCUUACAAUUUCAUCAUUAUCUGAAUAUUAGAAGCCUACUAAUCUAUUUCAAUGGAUUUUGGUGAUGAUUUCUCAGAUCUGAUGGAGAAGGAGGGACUUUCGGUGUUUAAUGGCAUAUUGGAUAGUUGGAUUUUUGGGGUAAGAGUAAAGAGAAGCUUGGUUAGCCAUGAGUUGGAGAGAAGUAGGGGUGGUGUGUACAUAUGCAGUCUGCUUAACCGCCACACCCGAGAUAUCACAGAGGAACUAGGGUUGGACUCUGUUUUGCCGCUUAGGUCGACUUAUUUUGUAAUCCUUGAGUUGUAAACUAAUUUUAGACUUCUAUUUUUGGAUCCCAUGUAAAGACUAAAUUUUUUAAUGGAAAUGUUUAUUCCUUUGACCAAAA
Molecule: long non-coding RNA, 678 nt
Organism: Humulus lupulus (European hop)
Lineage: Eukaryota; Viridiplantae; Streptophyta; Magnoliopsida; Rosales; Cannabaceae
Exons: 2
Source: RefSeq, a predicted model, not a curated record